CACGUAGGGCGCAAGCGUUGUCCGGAAUUAUUGGGCGUAAAGGGUGCGUAGGCGGCGCGGUAAGUCGGGUGUGAAAUCUCGGAGCUUAACUCCGAAACUGCAUUCGAUACUGCCGUGCUUGAGGACUGGAGAGGAGACUGGAAUUUACGGUGUAGCGGUGAAAUGCGUAGAUAUCGUAAGGAAGACCAGUGGCGAAGGCGGGUCUCUGGACAGUUCCUGACGCUGAGGCACGAAGGUCAGGGGAGCAAACGGG
This 253-nucleotide ribosomal RNA is filed under the name uncultured bacterium. RNAcentral describes it as "partial 16S ribosomal RNA". It matches the Rfam family "Bacterial small subunit ribosomal RNA", at positions 524 to 776 of the family's 1533-position model. The record is from RNAcentral.